AUGGCGGAGCUGGUGGCCACCAUGGUGGUCGGACCGCUUCUCUCCAUUGUGAAGGAGAAGGCGUCCAGCUACCUCCUUGACCAGUACAAGGUCAUGAAGGGCAUGGAGGAGCAACAUGAGAUCCUGAUGCGCAAACUGCCUGCCAUCCUCGACAUCAUCACUGACGCCGAGCAGGCGGCAGCCCACAGAGAAGGGGCAGCGGCCUGGCUCCAGGCCGUCAAGAAGGUGGCUUACGAGGCGAAUGAAGUCUUCGACGAGUUCAAGUACGAGGCACUUCGUCGUGAAGCAAAAAGGAAGGGGCACUACAAGGAGCUUGGCUUCGAUGUGGUAAAACUCUUUCCCACUCACAACCGUUUUGUGUUCCAUAACAGGAUGGGAAGAAAGCUCUGCAAGAUUGUGCAGGCCAUCGAGGUCCUUGUGACUGAAAUGAAUGCCUUUGGCUUUAAGUAUCAACAACAACCGCCGGUAUCCAGUCAAUUGCGGCGGACAGACCAUGCUAUCGCUGACCCAGAGGAAAUCAAGGAAAUCAUCAAUGAAUCCAGAGCCAAUGAUAAGACUGAAAUUGUUAGUAGACUAGUUGUGCAAGGUAACAAUGAAAGUCUCACAGUUAUUCCCAUCGUUGGAAUGGGGGGUCUGGGCAAGACCACGUUUGCACAAGUUAUCUACAAUGUACCUGAAAUUCAGAAGCACUUUGAUUUGCUGCUAUGGGUGUGCGUCUCUGACAACUUUGAUGUGGAUUCUCUGGCUACAAGAAUAGUUGAAGCAGCUCCUGAGAAGAAGGAUGAUGGCACAAAAGAAACCGCUCCCAAGAAGAAGGAUGAUGGCACAAAAGAAACCGCUCCCAAGAAGAAGAAAACACCACUGGAUAAACUUCAGGACUUGGUCAGCGGGCAAAGGUACCUCCUUGUACUGGAUGAUGUCUGGAAUAAAGAGGUUUAUAAAUGGAAACAGCUUAAGGCCCGACUUCAACAUGGUGGCAUGGGUAGUGUGGUUUUGGCAACAACUCGUGAUGGCGGAGUUGCUGAUAUUAUGCGUACUGUUGAAGCGUAUAAUCUCACAGCUUUGAAAGAUCAAUACAUAAAGGAAAUUAUCGAGACAACAGCAUUCAGCCAUUUCAAGAAGGAAGAGGAAAGGUCUGCAGAGUUGGUGAAUAUGGUUGAUAAAAUUGUGGGGAGAUGUUCUGGCUCUCCUUUAGCUGCAACGGCACUGGGCUCCAUGCUGUCUACCAAGACCAGUAAGGAAGAAUGGGAGACUGUAUUAAGCAGAAGCAGCAUUUGCACCGAGGAGAAUGGAAUCUUACCAAUACUCAAGCUCAGUUACAACGACUUGUCGUCGCGUAUGAAGCAAUGUUUUGCUUUUUGUGCAAUAUUUCCCAAAGAUCACAAGAUUGAUGUGGACAAGCUGAUCCAACUAUGGAUUGCACAUGACUUAAUCCAGGAAAAGCAAGUUCGUCUUGAAACCAUUGGCAAACAGAUUUUCAAUGAGCUGGCCUCAAGACUUCCAAGACAAAUGAAGUAUAUGACUUCCCUUCGUCACCUUUACACUCAUGGUUGUUCACGGCUUAAGUGCAUGCCCAAAGACCUCAGGAAACUCACAUCUCUUCAGACACUUACAUGCUUUAUAGCAGGUAGUGAGCCUAAUUGUAGUAAUGUUGGAGAGCUUGGAAAUUUAAACCUUGGUGGUCAACUAAAGCUACGUAAUCUGGCAAACGUGACAGAAGUGGAUGCAAAAGCAGCAAACCUUGUGAACAAGGAGCUAAGAGAAUUGAGAUUAACAUGGACCUUUAGAUGGAAUUAUUUUCAAGGUAUUACUAGCUGGCGGGAUAAUGAAGAGGAUGCAAAAGUGCUCGAGAAUCUCGAACCUCAUGAUGGACUACAUGCCAUAGGGAUACAGUCAUAUGGAGCCACCACCUUCCCAACAUGGAUGACUAUGUUGCAAAACAUUGUUGAGAUCCAUCUUUUUAGCUGUAGAAAACUAGUAUGGUUGUUAAGCGGUGAGUGUGAUACAUCGUUUGCAUUUCCAAAUCUGAAGGAGCUUAUGAUAAAAGGUCUUGUUUGUUUGGAGAGAUGGUGGGAAAAAGAUAAUGAUGGGAUGCAAGGAGAGUUGGUGAUGUUUCCUCUACUUGAGAAGCUGCAUAUUAGCGACUGUGUAAAGUUGAAAGCAUUGCCAGGACAUCCGACCUUCCCUAAACUCCAGAAUGUUCAUAUUAUGAAUUGUCCAGAGUUGACAACUAUAGCUAAAUCACCAAAGCUCGGUGUAUUGAAGAUGGAAGGACGCGAGGUAGAGUUGUUAUUGUGGGUAGCGAGACAUAUGACAUCAUUGACCAAUCUGGAACUGACUAGCAUUGAACAGAGUACAGAUACAACCUCGAUGGGGGCUGAGAAUAGUUUGAGGGAAUUGGUGAACGGCAAGGAGAAUGGAAAUGAUCAAGGCUUUCCUCUAGAAGUUUUGGUGUUAAGAGACUUUAAGUCAGGUGUAAGUGUAACAGAGCUGUGUGCAUGCUUUGUACGCCUUCAAGAGUUGUCAAUUUGGAGCUGCGAUGCGCUCGUCCACUGGCCAGAAUCAUUGUUCGAAGGAUUGGUAUCCUUGAGGAAGCUUCAGAUUGUGGACUGCAAUAAUCUGACUGGAUAUGCACAAGCUUCUGCUGAGCCAUCAACAUCAUCAGAAACCAGUCAGCUCCUGCCACGUCUAGAAUCUCUAACGAUACAGAGUUGUGGAAACUUGGUUGAGCUCUUCAACGUCCCUGCUUCUCUCAGAAAAAUGUACAUUUCUAAUUGCAAUGGGUCGCAAGCAUACUCAUCUCUCCAACAUCUCUUGAUUGCUAAAUGCCCUGGUCUGAAGACGCUCCCUGCAAGCCUGCAGCAAUGCCUUGGCAGCAUCCAGCAGGAAUACGUUGAUGCCCAUCUUUAUGGAAAUAAGCCAAGGCCUAUGCUGCUGAAGCCCAAGACAUGGAAGUAUGUCUGCAAAGAUUGA
This 2973-nucleotide ribosomal RNA is filed under the name Triticum aestivum (bread wheat). Its description in RNAcentral is "partial small subunit ribosomal RNA". Lineage: Eukaryota; Viridiplantae; Streptophyta; Magnoliopsida; Poales; Poaceae. The record is from RNAcentral.